AAUACGUACUACACAUGUGAGUUGAAUUUGAUGGUUGGUGGUGAAUCUCCCAACUCCUCCAAAUGGCUGUGUGAAUUGAAUUUGAUGAUGAGACUGAGUGCACUUCGCAUGUGGAAAACUCGAUUUAAUAAUUUCGAAUCGCCAAAUCAAGAUGAGACGGGACGGACGGUCAGAGGUUGCAGCAGGACUACCAUAGGAAAGCCCGCCCUCGCUAGCUAACAUAGAAAGAAAUAGAUUUCCAGAUAGCGAUAGUCUCUAUGUGAAUCUCUUCCCGACCAGGGCAGGCUGAAUCUGGCCGUCCUUUGGGAUGGGAAUGGCCCAGCCCACAUGCAUCAUUUGAUGAAAGCACUGCAGUCCAGUCGCCUCCUCAAAGUGGCUUGUCAACCACGCCUGCCCUUUCUCAAUUGAAUGAAGAAAGUUAAAGCAAAAAGGAUUGUCACGCCAUACCCCUUUACAUGGAAAGGCCUUUCCCCCCAAGCUCAAACAACCCAACCUGAAGUCUUUCGACGGGAGAGGGCUUGGUCUAUGAAAGUGGUAAUCAU
RNAcentral lists this long non-coding RNA (542 nucleotides) under Prunus persica (peach). RNAcentral's name for it is "long non-coding RNA (PPER_LNC008482)". The record is from RNAcentral. Lineage: Eukaryota; Viridiplantae; Streptophyta; Magnoliopsida; Rosales; Rosaceae.